AUCUUCAUUCACAGCUUCUCCUUCACGCUUUCUCAUUUGACAACCCUAAUUCUAGAACCUGCCGCUGCAAUUCUUCUUGCCUUUAACCUCACGCUGUAACGGUGGAACAUUAAGAACCUGCAAAAGCUUCAUAUCUUUGGAUCCCAAAACCAUCGAUUUGUCUCAACCAAGUUUUUUUCAUGUUUGCUAGAUGUUUUUCAAAUCACAGGUUUUUUAUUGCUGGUGUUGUUUGUUGAUUUCAAUGCAUAAGAAGAAUGAAGAUGUGUUGUGGUGAUUGGCUGUUGAGCUGGAAGAGGACAUCUGGCGCUUGGCUAUUUCUCCGGCAACUUCAACUAAAGACGAAUAGUUUAGCGCUGACGACUCUGACAUCACAUAUAUUGCGGAAAUACUUCGAGCAUCAAAAUAUUUACUUUCUCGAAAACCAACAAAAUGUUCAAAAGUCAUUAGAAAAAGAUACAUGAAGAUGUUCAAAGCUCCGAAGGAAGCUUGUGAUUGACGCCAUUUAUGAAAUCAUCGACAGAAACAGAGAACGACCGCUGUGGAAGUUAACGGAAUCAAGCGAUUCCGUGAAGGAGAACUGUUGUGAAUUUCAAAAGAUUCGCAAAACGGAAACUACUAUAAAUUUCUUCGGAGUCUGAUGUAAAUGACAUCGUUGUGAACGGAUGAUACGUGACAACUAAAGAUGAUGUUUUUGUGCAGCUGAUUCUUGACAGUCUCACAGGGCCUCCAAUCUUAUGUGAGAAACAGGUUGUUCCUAUUUAGUGAUCAAAUACCUUUGUUCAACAAAAUUAAUCACAAGGUGGACGUUCUCAGUUGAAGAUUUUUGAAUAGCUACAUUUUUUUGGAGGUUGAAAGGGUGUCAAUAAUUAACUAUAAUUUGUAUCACCACAAAGUCGGCCCCUCACUACCCUUUUCAAGGCAUUUUGAAAUAAAUUUCGACAUUUGGGUUUGCUUGCCUUUUGUUUCUCAUGGAAUUAGUGAAGGAUUUUAAUUGCUAAGUGAGUGUCGAGUGUUAUUUUUCGGCGAGUGAGGUUUUGGCGAAGCAUGAU
This 1049-nucleotide long non-coding RNA is filed under the name Helianthus annuus (common sunflower). The record is from RNAcentral. Lineage: Eukaryota; Viridiplantae; Streptophyta; Magnoliopsida; Asterales; Asteraceae.